RNAcentral lists this long non-coding RNA (1925 nucleotides) under Felis catus (domestic cat). Its description in RNAcentral is "apelin receptor (ENSFCAG00000026320.4)". Lineage: Eukaryota; Metazoa; Chordata; Mammalia; Carnivora; Felidae. The record is from RNAcentral.
ACUGAUCCAGUUUGGGGGAAAGUUCUGGAGCUCCCAGCUGCAGAGCCUGGAGUUAACUCUUGGCUGGCCCCAGCCCUCCAGUCCCGGUCCCUGCUGCUCUCUCCCCCGCCUGCACUCUCAGGGAACCAGACAGAGCUGCAGCAGGGGCCCUGUGUGCAAGCUUCAGGAUUCUUAACCCUUAGGAGCCCUGCAGACCCGGGAGGGGAUGGACUUCUCGAGCAUCUGCUCUCCGCCCUUCCCCGAGUUGGGGCCGGGCCCCUGGCUGUGCCCGGAGGAGUAGCUGGCGGACUUCUCCCCGCUGCCGCUGUGGGCCGCGGCCCCGCACCGGCCCUGGCCCCGGCAGAGCACCGAGGCGCAGGCCUGGCGGAAGCGGGGGUCGAAGAAGGCGUAGAGAAAGGGGUUGAGGCAGCUGUUGACGUAGCUGACGCAGGUGCAGUAGGGGAAGACGUUCAUGAGGAAGAGGUCGAAGUCGCAGGGCCAGCGCAGCAGGCCGCCCAGCGUGUAGAGCGUCUUCACCAGGUGGUAGGGCACCCAGCAGAGGGCGAAGGUCACCACCAGCACCACGAUGAUGCCGAGCAGCCGGCGCCGCUUCCGCAGGCCCUCGACGCGCUCCUUGCGGAAGUGGCCGGCGAUGGUCUGGGCGAUGAAGAAGUAGCAGGUCAGCAUGACGGUGAAGGGCACCACGAAGCCCACGGCGGUGGACGAGACCCCCAGGCCCACCUCCCAGGCCCACUCGGAGCCGGAGGCGGCCACCACGGAGUAGUCCAUGUAGCACUGCACCCUGGUGGUGUUCUCCAGGUCCCCGGUGGCGCGGAACACCAUGACCGGCGCGGCCAGGAGGGCGGCCAGCACCCACAGGACGGCCGUGGCCGCGGCGCCGCUGACCCGCAGCCUCAGCCGAGCGUUGGCCACCGGCCUCACGAUGGCCAGGUAGCGGUCGAAGCUGAGCCCGGUGAGGCAGAAGACGCUGGCGUACAUGUUGACGAAGACGAGAUAGCUGCUGAGCUUGCAAGCAAAGGUGCCGAAGGGCCAGUCGUAGUCCCGGUACGUGUAGGUGGCCCACAGCGGCAGGGUCACCACGAAAGUCAGGUCGGCCACUGCCAGGCUGGCGAUGAAGACGUCGGCCGAGCGCCUCUUCUCGCGGCUGCUGCGGAACACGGUCCAGAGCACCAGGCCGUUGCCCGUGGUGCCCAGGAGGAAGACCAGCAUGUAGAUGGCGGGGAUGAGGGCCCCCGAGGACUUCCAGUCCGUGUACUCGCACUCAGACUGGUUGUCUGCCCCGUAGUAGGUGUCAAAGUCGCCGGCCUCCUCCAUGCUGGGCGGCGGAGAGAAGACGGGGCAGGGGCUCCCGCGGGUACCAGCUCCGUGGCUGCGGCCCCGACCCCGGCGGCCGCCCUGGGCUUCUGGCCCGAGCCUCAGGGGGCAGGCGAGAAGGGGCUGAGGGUGUCCAGAGCCCUUCCCGGCAAGCAGAAGCUGCCUCCGGAUUCUGGAGGGUGCCUGCCCCUGCAGACGUCCCUCCGCCCUCUCCUCGCCUUGCCCCAGCCUCAGCUAAGAGGCUUCCUUGCGCCCUCCUGAGUCUCUGUCUCCUCCUCGUCUGGUCACUCCCUCCUCCCACCCACCUCCAGACCCACCCCUCACUUGGGAGUCUUAAGAUCUUUAAGUUACAGCCCACUUUUUUUUUGUUGUUUUUUUCCUCUUGUCCCCGGGCAAGUGGACCAAAUUGAGCCCUGCGGAGCAGAGCUGGGCAGAAUGUUAUCUGAGGUUUGCAGCCUGCUCUCCUCCCAGCCCCUCCUCCACCCUCUGGCUACCACCCACCUUCUCCCCAGCCUCUAGUCCCUGGUUUCCUCUGGCCUUUGGAGCACCCCCUCCCCAACCCUCCCCACCUUCCUACUCUCACCCCCUCCCCUCCCCUCUAAAUGGGACAA